This 163-nucleotide ribosomal RNA is filed under the name Acarosporaceae sp. Its description in RNAcentral is "partial large subunit ribosomal RNA". It matches the Rfam family "Eukaryotic large subunit ribosomal RNA", at positions 99 to 261 of the family's 3401-position model. Lineage: Eukaryota; Fungi; Ascomycota; Lecanoromycetes; Acarosporales; Acarosporaceae. The record is from RNAcentral.
CGGCAACAGCUCAAAUUUGAAAUCUGGCCCUCUCAGGGUCCGAGUUGUAAUUUGGAGAGGAUGCUUCGGGUGUGGCCCCGGUCUAAGUUCCUUGGAACAGGACGUCACAGAGGGUGAGAGCCCCGUACGGUUGGACGCCUAGCCUUUGUAAAGCUCCUUCGAC